Small nuclear RNA from Onychomys torridus (southern grasshopper mouse), 102 nucleotides. NCBI's taxonomy places the organism in Eukaryota, Metazoa, Chordata, Mammalia, Rodentia, Cricetidae. The record is from RefSeq and is a predicted model, not a curated record.
GUAUGACAGCACAUAUUAAAUUAAACUGAUACGAUGCAGACAAUUUCAGCACAGCCCCUGUGUAAAGAUGACAUACAAACUCAGGAGACAGUCUGUAUUUUA